GAAUUAUUGGGCGUAAAGAGCUCGUAGGCGGUUUGUCGCGUCUGCCGUGAAAGUCCGGGGCUUAACUCCGGAUCUGCGGUGGGUACGGGCAGACUAGAGUGCAGUAGGGGAGACUGGAAUACCUGGUGUAGCGGUGAAAUGCGCAGAUAUCAGGAGGAACACCGAUGGCGAAGGCAGGUCUCUGGGCUGUAACUGACGCUGAGGAGCGAAAGCAUGGGGAGCGAACAGGAUUAGAUACCCUGGUAGUCCAUGCCGUACACGUUGGGCACUAGGUGUGGGGGACAUUCCACGUGUUCCGCGCCGUAGCUUACGCAUUAAGUGCCCCGCCUGGGGAGUACGGCCGCAAGGCUAAAACUCAAAGGAAUUGACGGGGGCCCGCACAAGCGGCGGAGCAUGCGGAUUAAUUCGAUGCAACGCGAAGAACCUUACCAAGGCUUGACAUGAACCGGAAUGCUGCAGAGAUGUGUCAGCCACUUGUGGCCGGUUUACAGGUGGUGCAUGGUUGUCGUCAGCUCGUGUCGUGAGAUGUUGGGUUAAGUCCCGCAACGAGCGCAACCCUCGUUCCAUGUUGCCAGCGGGUUAUGCCGGGGACUCAUGGGAGACUGCCGGGGUCAACUCGGAGGAAGGUGGGGACGACGUCAAAUCAUCAUGCCCCUUAUGUCUUGGGCUUCACGCAUGCUACAAUGGCCGGUACAAAGGGUUGCGAUACUGUGAGGUGGAGCUAAUCCCAAAAAGCCGGUCUCAGUUCGGAUUGAGGUCUGCAACUCGACCUCAUGAAGUUGGAGUCGCUAGUA
Molecule: ribosomal RNA, 794 nt
Filed under: uncultured bacterium
Lineage: Bacteria
Description: bacterial SSU rRNA
Rfam family: Bacterial small subunit ribosomal RNA
Source: RNAcentral